CCUACGGGAGGCAGCAGUGGGGAAUAUUGCACAAUGGUGGAAACCCUGAUGCAGCGACGCCGCGUGAGUGAAGAAGUAUUUCGGUAUGUAAAGCUCUAUCAGCAGGGAAGAAAAUGACGGUACCUGAUUAAGCAUCCCCGGCUAACUACAUGCCAGCCUCCGCGGUAAUACGUAGGGGGCAAGCGUUAUCCGGAUUUACUGGGUGUAAAGGGGGCGUAGACGGCAGCACAAGUCUGGAGUGAAAUGCCGGGGCUUAACCCCGGAACUGCUUUGGAAACUGUGCAGCUAGAGUGCAGGAGAGGUAAGUGGAAUUCCUAGUGUAGCGGUGAAAUGCGUAGAUAUGAGGAGGAACACCAGUGGCGAAGGCGGCUUACUGGACUGGAACUGACGUUGAGGCUCGAAAGCGUGGGGAGCAAACAGGAUUAGAUACCCGAGUAGU
Molecule: ribosomal RNA, 439 nt
Filed under: uncultured bacterium
Lineage: Bacteria
Description: partial 16S ribosomal RNA
Rfam family: Bacterial small subunit ribosomal RNA
Source: RNAcentral